Molecule: long non-coding RNA, 3738 nt
Organism: Coffea arabica (coffee)
Lineage: Eukaryota; Viridiplantae; Streptophyta; Magnoliopsida; Gentianales; Rubiaceae
Source: RefSeq, a predicted model, not a curated record
UAUAAUCCCAACAACGCGGAGAACAAAAAAAAAAAAGGAAAAAUGAACUCCAUUCCUCUGGCUCUCUUUCGACUCUCUUUCUCUCUACACUCUCUCAAUUAGCACAUAAGAAAAUAAAAGUAAGGAAAAGUAAGAAAAAGUAGAAGAAGGUAGAGGAGUGGAGCUUCACUCUAGGAGUUUUUCCAUCAAAAUUUGUUCAUCCAAUUGGAAGGCCCCCACUGUUUCAUUAAGUGACGUAGCCGUUGGAGCUGCCAUGGUUGCCAGCGAGGAAUUGGAGGUCUAACCGGAAGAAGAGAGGAAGAAGGAAAAGAAAAAUGAAAAAGAAAAAGGAAAGGAAAAGAAAGGAAAAAAGAGGAAAAGAAAAUAAAGGGAAUGGCCUGGAAUUUUAUCUUUUGUUGGGCUUGUAUUGGGCUUUGGAUGGUAAACAUUAGGGAUGUUUGCUACUUUAAGCUUGUAUUUUUUACAUGAGAUGAUUUGUCUUUUUUGGGCUAGAUUAGUGUGGUCCGAGCACUAAAUGACCAAAACUUUUUUCUUCAUACUUUUCCUUAAAUCAGAAAUCAGAUUUUAUAAGUUGACCCUAAACGUUUUAGUAAUACUGUUAUGGCCCAAGAACUUUAGAUUUCCUAAAUUUAGGUCCUUAUUUUAAUUGCAUUUAACUCCUAAACUUUGUCUUUAUAUACUUUUUGCCCCUAAUUAUGGCCCAAGAACUUUAGAUUUCCUAAAUUUAGGUCCUUAUUUUAAUUGCAUUUAACUCCUAAACUUUGUCUUUAUAUACUUUUGGCCCCUAAUCAUUUAAUAAAAUUAUAUUUUGACCUUAAAAAUUUUCUAAUUUUUACAAUUUAGUCCCUUGUAGCUUUUGAUUUCUUAAUUAUAAUUGUUUCCUUUCUUUAACUAUUAAUUAUGUUUUCCUUAAAUGCAUUUAACUUGCAAUUUUGGGCGUUUUAAGUUUAUUUGGACCUUUGGCAUGAUAAUGUAAAUUUAGUAUAUUUUUAUGUUUGACCAAGAAGGUUCUAGUUAAGGAGGUUCAUGUGAAUUAUUGUUAGAGGCUAGACAUCUGUAUGGUUACAUAAAUCACUUUGCCUCACUCUAUCAAAUUUCCACCAAUUUAAGAAGAUUUUCAUGGGUUGAGGUAAUUUUUUAAACGACCUUUAUGUCUCAUGAAUUUAAUCAAAAGUUGAUCUAUUAAGGAAAUAAAAAAUUUUAAAAUUUUCACUGUGCAUGUCUUUAUAAUUCCUUACACAAAUUAGGAUUUAUGGAUAGAAUCCGACACUAGAUUAUAUUAGAUGGGAGGUUUGUUUGAUAAUAUGUGCAAGGAAAGAAAAAAGUCUCAACAUGGUCUCUUUUUCUUCUCCUCUCUCAUACCAUCACCACCAUCUUGGACAACUAAUCUCCGCUCCAAACUUUUGUUAUUUCAUUUUACUCUUGCCUUCUUUUAUUGGGGGAACAAUUUUGCAAUACAGAAUGAAAGAAAAUGAAAUGACUAAAAACAUCUACCUUGCAUAUAAGAAGAAUGCGAGGUUUAGUGUUUUUCUUUCCGUUUUGCCAUGUGACUUUUUGGUUAUUUGACAAGUGGCAUGACUCCAAUAUAUUUCCCUUAGAAAUUACUCUUGUUGCUCCAUCCACUCUCUUCGGACCAAACCCAGACCAAAUAGACUAAUUUCUGUCCUUUAAAAAAGCUGAGGAGCUUUAUCUUCUUCUCUAGGCUUAACCGAUUUCAUUAAACUCACUAAUCAGAUUAAGUUGAUGUGUUGUUUAACCCAUCAUCCUUAGAUUAGUCUUACUAGAUUUGUAUUACAUUUACAGCCAUUGGAUGUACUUCAUUAUGCUCUAAUUGUGAUUUAGCUUAGAAAUAGCAGCUGAUCGUUAUGAACUUAGCAGUUAGCACUGCUGCCUAAUUUUGCUACUUUAUUGGCUCCUUGAGCCCUCCUCCUCCAAUUUCCUUGGUCGAAGCAUGCUUUCUUUCCUUUCAAUUGUACCUCCUCAAGUUUCGACCAUAGAUUAACCUAGGGAUCAAGCAGAAGAUGGAUUUCAUAUGCUGUUUGUUGGAUAUUUCCAAUUACAGUCGCUCCUUUUUUUGCUCAAAGAAAGAAAAUAUGGGCCCAUUGCUCUAUGCUUGUCAUGCGCAUUCCUCCAUCUGGAAUGAUUCCUUUUCUCUUUUUUAAAAUAAUUUCUUGCAUUUUUAUACCUGAAUAUUAGCGCUUUAGGGUUUUCCUCUUAUUAAUUUGUUAUAAAUCAAACAAUUUGGAGUUUUUGUAUAAGCAAACAGCGGUUUGGUUUUCUAAUCUGCUUGGGGAUUUUUCUUGAUACAAAAGAAUGUAAAUUUUAAUGACAGUAAUUCUCUCUAUUGUGAGGCACUUCUUCACUCCUAGUAUUUUUCCUAUAUUCCUUUGUUUUGCAAAUAAAUUAAUUAACUAGAUCAGUUCAUAUUGGUUUCAAAAGGAACACAAAGUAUAAACUGCUUUCAGUUGUCACCAAUAUCAUUUGCAAAUUAUGAAUUUUUAGCUUUAAACUGAUAAUCAUUCAGCGUCUGUUUGUUGGACUGAAAACAUUUUCUCGAAAACGUUUUCCUGAUUUUUCACUGUUUGGACGCAAUCUAAUUUGAGAAAAUAAUUUCUGAUGAAAAAUAACUUUCACCGAGAGAAGGAAAAUUUCUUCCUUACCUAUUAUUUCGAAGUUAUUUUCCCUUCUUAAUCACGGCCUCUUCUUUUCACCGCCCAUUGAAGACCAUCGGCAAACCACCUUCUUGGCCUGCGGCAUUUCCAGCUCCGGCGAAGACCCACUUCUUUUUAAAAAUAUCUGUCUCCAUCUCCAGCUCCCGCGGCAUCCAAACGUAGGCUACUCUUGUAAUUAGGUCAUUAUCUUUUUAAAAAUCAGCUAUAUUAUCAUCUACUCUUUCACGGCAUCUCCAUCUCCAGCUCCUGCUCCGGCGGCAUCCAGAGCGACAUCUCAUCCCCAUUCCUGCAACAGCAUCUCCAACAAGGGCGAAGACUCCUUAAGCAUUUCCAGAGCAAAAUCCAGGUCAUGACAAGUAUAUUCACAAUAAAAUCGAAUUGUAUGAUGAAAUGGCUGUUGUGGUUGGAAAAGAUCUGGCCACCAGGUCUUUUGCAAAAUCAUUUGUCAAUGUGAAUUUGGAAACUCCAUUUGUUCCUAAGACAAGUGUAGAGACAAGUGAAGAGACGAGUGUGCAAAAGGAUGUGACUAGUGCAAGAUCCUCAGAAGUGAGAGCAAUAUCGUCGGGAACAAAACAACAUCGUAAAAGAAAUUGCAGCAAUGAAGAUAUGGAAAAGAUGUCUCAACAACUUGGAGAAGUGGCAGCUGCUUUGAACAAAAUUAGUGCAAACAAGCUUGAUAUCAGCCAACUACAUGAUGAGAUUAUGAAGAUAGAAGGUUAUAGCGGAGAAUUUCUGUACUUGGUAUUCGAUCAUUUGGUGCAAAAUGAGAAGCUGGGAAAAGCAUUUAUGGCGAAGAGUCAAAGACUUCGUUUGAUUUCUCUCGAGAGGUUCAAGAAAUAUUGGGGUGAAUGAAGUACUUAUUAUGUGAUGGCAGCAAGAAAGUAACAGAAACUGUAUUAUAAGCAAGCAUCAUAUUCUUGGAAAGUCUCUUCAACUGCAUAGUGUUUUUUAUUGUCAUUAUCUUUUGUAUUUAUAGGAAAACCACUUGCCUUGUUUUGGAAGUACUAGAAUUCCAGAAUUCUCUGCUUAAAGUAAUAUACCAAUUCCUUUGCACCCGUUUUUGUUA